CAGUGGUCAGGCUGGGAGGGGCGCGAGCUCUUUGGUUCGUGAGCGGUCGGUCGGUCGGUCGGUCGGUCA
Molecule: microRNA precursor, 69 nt
Filed under: Echinops telfairi (small Madagascar hedgehog)
Lineage: Eukaryota; Metazoa; Chordata; Mammalia; Afrosoricida; Tenrecidae
Description: miRNA (ENSETEG00000023735.1)
Source: RNAcentral